RNAcentral lists this small RNA (511 nucleotides) under Histoplasma ohiense. Its description in RNAcentral is "hypothetical lncRNA". Lineage: Eukaryota; Fungi; Ascomycota; Eurotiomycetes; Onygenales; Ajellomycetaceae. The record is from RNAcentral.
CUGCAGGCAUGCACUCUUCUUCUCUCUUUUCACUGCUCUUUCUGUCUCUCUUCACUUUUUUUUUUUCAUGAUUUUGUUCAGUGCUCUCUUCUCUCUUCUCUUUCUGAGUCUGUGCUGAGUUAUAUGACUGCAAGAUGUCACAGAGAGCACAGUCUUUUCUUCACUCUUCUCUUUAUUUUUCUUUCAGAACACUCAUUUUUUCUCUUUUCUUUUGUCUAUCUCAUCUAUCUUUUCUCUGCUGUUAGAAGCACAGAUAGUUCUUGAAUCAACUGAGAGAGUUAUCUCUCUUCAUUCACUAUAAAGUCUUUCAGACACAGCAGUGGCAGUUUCCUUGGAAAUCACACUAUAGCUCCACCAUAAAUGAUCAUAUAUCAGAUCAGAAGUGAAUACACAGCUCAGUAAAAUCCUUUUCAAUGAGCUGAGUCUUUUCAAAAGUUGCCAUCUGAAUUCUGUUUUCUUUCUCUCUAUGUAUAUAGAAAUCUCUUCAGCAUAGCAUGUCUCCAUGUCCUUC